Molecule: unclassified non-coding RNA, 207 nt
Filed under: plant metagenome
Description: partial contains small subunit ribosomal RNA, internal transcribed spacer 1, and 5.8S ribosomal RNA
Source: RNAcentral
UUUCCGUAGGUGAACCUGCGGAAGGAUCAUUCAUAAUAAGUGUUUUAUGCCACUUUUCUAAAUCCAUAUCCACCUUGUGUGCAAUGUCAGGGUUGGUCUCUUUUGAUCAGACCCAAACAUCAACUAUUAUCUCAACUCUUUGUCUGAAAAAUAUUAUGAAUAAAACAAUUCAAAAUACAACUUUCAACAACGGAUCUCUUGGCUCUC